This is a non-coding RNA of Aspergillus steynii IBT 23096, 117 nucleotides long. The record is from the annotation of a RefSeq genome assembly. Lineage: Eukaryota; Fungi; Ascomycota; Eurotiomycetes; Eurotiales; Aspergillaceae.
GGCAAGAUGGCCGAGUGGUUAAGGCGGUAGACUCAAGCGAUUCAAAGCUUCACCAUUUAAAUAAGUUGGUGUUUUCUACUCUCGCAAGAGGCGUGGGUUCGAGUCCCACUCUUGUCA